This is a long non-coding RNA of Ochotona curzoniae (black-lipped pika), 1927 nucleotides long. RefSeq lists it as uncharacterized. The transcript has 4 exons. Lineage: Eukaryota; Metazoa; Chordata; Mammalia; Lagomorpha; Ochotonidae. The record is from RefSeq and is a predicted model, not a curated record.
CCUGAAAAAUGAUAGGUCAAGUAUUAAACCGUGAUUCUCGCAAAGGUGUGAACAAACCUGACGUUUCACUUGUGUAUCGUUCCUCAGGCUUCACUGAAGAAAGCAGUACCCGCAACUUCUCCCCCUUCCUUCCCAGCAGGAAAGUCUAUCCGGGAGACAAGGGGAGGUUCACUGGGAAGAAGAAUUUCAAAUCUGUGCUUUACUGUUUCACUUAAAUGAAACAUCUCUUGUGUUUUGGGAUGGAGAUUGGUAAAGCAGUAAAUUUACUGGUUUCCUCCUUUGCUUCUUUUGGUGGUAGGAAUUGGUGCUCUUAAUGCAAACUAAAUGUUUACACGACAGGUGGUUGCUCUUGAUUUUUUUUCGAACAUAACAAAGGAUUUGCAUUAAGUUUGAAGAGAAGCCAAGUUUUCUAAGAGAGUUUAUUCAGAGUAAACUUCUGGAAUCUUGAUUUUGGACUGUGUCUCAACACGUAAGACCCAAAGACCUCUGGCUUUCAUUUUUGUGGAAUAUUUUAGUAAUCAUGUAGCUUAUUCCAUUUGAUGAAAUGGGAAGCUCAGACACAUUCUCUAAAACUACUUUUUAAAGUGAGGCCAUACAGGUUACACAGCCACAUGUGAGCUUUGGGCUCCAGUGUCAGAGACCCUGGGGAAACGUGGGACGUGUGUCACCUCUGGCAAGAAGACAGGGCUGCUGCAGCUCAAGGCAGGUAGGUUACCACCCACACUCUCCAGCGCAGUUCCUUCAGUCAAACAGAUCGGGGAAGGGGUCAAAAACAAGCACUUGACCAGACACUGGAUAGGAGUCUGUAAAACGCAAGUGCUGUUUUAACGAACUGUAGAAAUUGGGCAGUUUCUCAUCAGAAUGGUCACUUUCACUUACCUCCUUAACAGAGCGUAACGACAUAACAGGAAGGAGCACAAAGGAAAUAGCAUUCUCAAAACUGUGAGUAAAUCCGAUGUUUCAAGCACUCCAGUGUCAGUGUAUUUCUGACUACAUCUUGUGUGUGUGCGUGUGUAUGUAAACAUUUUUUCAAGUGAGGACCCAUUUGGUUUUAGGUUUAGCAGUGUUACUUGAAUGCAUGCACAGGUGAGUGAGUGGUAACCAAAGAAUUUCUUUGUCACCCAGGAAGGUACUUCCAAAAAUGUUCAUGGAAAAUGUGUACCAUAAAAAAACUAAGCAUGGAUUUCAGAAUUUUCUGCACCAAAUAAAGAACAGCUUCACGUCCAUAAAUAUAGAAACUACCGACAGUGUAACUCAUGCUUUAAAAACAGUUUGAUUUCAGAAGCUAAGUGAGUUUAAAAAAAGAAAAGCAGCAGUGGCUUUACUUACCCCAGACAAGGACAAUGUAUCUCAGUGGAAUGAAGUACAGGAUGAGUGUGAACACACACAAGGCUACAAUCGCCAGCCAGCUUAAGAAUGGGACGGUCCAGUUGAAAGUACUGAAUGGAAAAUUAACACAUCAGCAAUUUCAAACACUUCAUACCUUUUUCAAACAAAUAUUCAAAUAAAUGUGAUGCUAACUUGAAACUGCAUUUCUCUCUGGACUGGAAUCCCAGUACAGUAAGCUACCAGAAGAUAAAACCCAGAGCCCAAGUCAAAGGUCAAUUGUUUCCGAGAACUGUUUUCUGGUUGAAGAGCCAACAUUGGGUCCAUCUGCUGAUCCUGUUUUCAGUAACCCUUGGGGUCUGGCUUUGCUCCUUGUCUCCUCACGGCCAGAGCGAGCAUCCUGUAGCUGUCACCAGGAAGGAAAUUGUCAGAACUUUCAUAAAACCUAAGGCUGGCAGAGACAAAUAAUGAUGAAACUGAGCAACAGACCACCCAGAAGGAAUGUCCCCUGCCAAAAAGAACCUGGCACUUCACCCUCUUAGACAAACAUGGACACGCUGCCCCGCACAAGGCCGGGACUCUCAGUCAGCAUCACUCACUU